UGAGUUAAAUACAACUCACAGGAUAGUUAAUGCAUUAAACAAAAAUGCAAAAAAAUGCAAUAAAAAUGUAUAAUGUCAAGGGUUAAGUAAAAAUGGGGAGUCAUGUCUGUCUCCCAAAUUAGUGGCCUUCUCUCAUUCAACUUUAUAAACCUAAGAUUCUAGCACAAGGUCUUAAACAUGGUAAAAACACGGUAAAAGUUUGUUAAAUGGUAAGUGGAAGUUUCCUGUAAUUAGUCACUCCCAAUUACUCCACAGUUACUAAUAUUUUGAAAAUGAGCUCUGCUUGGAAUGAAAUUUUUAUUUUGCUCAUCUAUCUAUAUACCUAGCAUAAAUGGCAGAAAUAUAGUGAGUUCUUGAGCAAUUGAAUUUUUAAUAUUAAUGUCAACAUCACCUUAUAAGCAAAUGAAGCCUUCUAAAUUAGGUGAAAGUGGUUGGAAACAACUUGCUUUCCUAAGGUGUGAAAAUAUAUCAUCUGUAUUUAUGUAGUGAAAAUUGUUCUUUAUGGGAAAGGCAAAGAUGAGCAAGUUUUCCAAGGCUUUAUCCCUCUGUAGAACACAUGAACACAUAUUAAUAAUCACCGAGCACAUUUUACUGAUUCUAAGCCCCAGUGACUGAUGCACGAUCUCUUUCACCCUCUUCCUGUUUACCCAUAAGUAUUUCUGGCAGUUUUCAUGAGAUAUCCUACCUAAGCUUGCAAAAGAGUCUAUUUGCAUUGGGCACUAUCAUUGCGUCAUAGUAACUCCUUUAUCAGACUGUCCCCCACUUUGCUGAGUGCUGCUACAUACCCUUGCAGGGCUGGCCCACGCCUCUAACACAGGGUUGUCUUGCUGCUUAAUUACCAGCCACAACAAUUCAAGGAAGAACUGUCCAGUGGCCUGCACAACUAUCUUCCUGGCUACAUUGGUUUUGUUUAAAAACUGCUCACCAUCAGGUAAAAUGGAAAACCUACAUCAUCCUAAGAAAACUUAUUUGGAGCUCUCUUCCUGAUAUUUUUCAUAAAAUGCCAUAUAUUGAAGGAGAAGUGGAACAGAGAAUGCAUAUGCUAGACAGAGGUGGUUCUUGUUAAUAAGGUCGAGAAUCCAAUGAAAGACACUGAAUGAUUAACAAUCACAUAUAUACAUCUUCAAGAUUUGAACCUAUAAAUUUCUUUAUUAUUUCCCAUAUUAUCACUUACAGUGGCUUACCAAACCAAAUGCUAGAAGUUUCUGUUUUUCAGGUUCUCCCAUCUCUCACUAUCUAGGCUUAUUUAAUCAUCUAUUAGUGUACUAUUAAUUUUGAAAAGUAAUACAUGUCUACGAUGAAAAAUUAAAACAGUAGAAAAGAAUACACAGUGAAAAGUGGGUCCUCUUUCAUAGGAACCCCCACCAGUGAGAUGCCGCUGUGGUCCGUUCAUGGGGUGUUCUCCAGAGAUGGUCUAUGCAUAUCAAGCAUAUGAAUAACCCUUCUUUUGGUAUAUAUAACCAAAUGUACACAAAUGGAGCUCACUGUAUACAACAUGCUACAUCUUGCUUGGUUCAUUGAACAAUAGAAGUUACUGAUUGUAAAUCCUAAAUCACUGACUCAUUCUUGUUAACAGUGUGUCCACUAUGUUAGAAUAUAAGGCCGUGCACGGUGGCUCAUGCCUGUAA
Non-coding RNA from Microcebus murinus (gray mouse lemur), 1628 nucleotides. The record is from RefSeq and is a predicted model, not a curated record. Lineage: Eukaryota; Metazoa; Chordata; Mammalia; Primates; Cheirogaleidae.